AGAGUUUGAUCACGGCUCAGGAUGAACGCUAGCUACAGGCUUAACACAUGCAAGUCGAGGGGAAACGACAUCGAAAGCUUGCUUUUGAUGGGCGUCGACCGGCGCACGGGUGAGUAACGCGUAUCCAACCUGCCCAUCACUUGGGGAUAACCUUGCGAAAGUAAGACUAAUACCCAAUGACGUCUCUAGAAGACAUCUGAAAGAGAUUAAAGAUUUAUCGGUGAUGGAUGGGGAUGCGUCUGAUUAGCUUGUUGGCGGGGUAACGGCCCACCAAGGCGACGAUCAGUAGGGGUUCUGAGAGGAAGGCCCCCCANAUUGGAACUGAGACACGGUCCAAACUCCUACGGGAGCA
RNAcentral lists this ribosomal RNA (352 nucleotides) under uncultured bacterium. RNAcentral describes it as "bacterial SSU rRNA". It matches the Rfam family "Bacterial small subunit ribosomal RNA", at positions 8 to 349 of the family's 1533-position model. The record is from RNAcentral.